Molecule: ribosomal RNA, 439 nt
Filed under: uncultured bacterium
Lineage: Bacteria
Description: partial 16S ribosomal RNA
Rfam family: Bacterial small subunit ribosomal RNA
Source: RNAcentral
CUACGGGGGGCACCAGUGAGGAAUAUUGCACAAUGGGGGAAACCCUGAUGCAGCAACGCCGCGUGGAGGAUGACGCAUUUCGGUGUGUAAACUCCUUUUAUCAGAGAAGAAAAUGACGGUAUCUGAUGAAUAAGCUCCGGCUAACUCCGUGCCAGCAGCCGCGGUAAUACGGAGGGAGCAAGCGUUAUUCGGAAUCACUGGGCGUAAAGGACGCGUAGGCGGGUUUUUAAGUCAGGUGUGAAAUCCUAUGGCUCAACCAUAGAACUGCACUUGAAACUGGGGACCUAGAGUAUGGAAGGGGCAGGUGGAAUUAGUGGUGUAGGGGUAAAAUCCGUAGAUAUCACUAGGAAUACCGAAAGCGAAGGCGACCUGCUGGGACAUUACUGACGCUGAGGCGUGAAAGCGUGGGGGGCAAACAGGAUUAGAUACCCCGGUAGUC